AUGGCAGCUCAGACCGGAGCAGCGCUCCUCCUCGUCGGCCUCCUUCCAUCUGGAAUGUUGCAGAUUUGGAUCUGGAGUGAUGCAAUACAUCUAAUGGAUGGACAAACGCUUACAUUAAUCAAAAGAACACUAACUAACAUGGACAAAGAACGUGAGGGAUUUGGGGAACGCAGGCAUCUCGGGCACCCUGAUUCCUCAACUGGGACAACUGAAGAACCUGCAGUACCUAGAGCUGUACGCGAACAAUAUGAGUGGAUCAAUACCAACAACUCUGGGCAACCUGACACUCCUGAUCAGCCUCGAUCUUUACAACAACCAUCUCACCGGCGUGAUACCUUCCUCGCUUGGGGCAGUCGGGACACAGCGUUUCCUAGGCUAUUCGUUGGUGUCUCCCUGCAGGAGGCUGCAUGGGAACAAACUGGCAGGGGGUAUACUGGCGUCAUUGGGCCGUCUGAUGAAGCUUGUCGAGCUGGAGCUUCAGGAGAAUACGCUGACCGGCACGGUGCCGCUGGAGGUUUGGUGCUUUGUGCUCGCAAGAGUUUUCCAAUUGGAAUCAUUUGCAGUGGCUACUGUCAUCCAGGACACGCUCAAGACUACACUCUGAGCACUAGUGGUAACCUGAACUUAUGUAAGAUUUUUGAUCCGUGGUCGCCCGUAAAGAAGAUUAAUGGCUGUUCAACCACGCUCUUAUAUGAAACGCCCUCUGGCUUCGCAAUUAUAUCUUGUGAUGGGGUCAACCCCAAGAUUCCAAUGGAGGACAUCUGGGCAUACCCACCAGAGAAUGUCAGGGUGGUGAAAUUCAUUGAGUUUGAGGACAAGUGUACUGCCAUUGACCUUGCCAAGGAAAUUAUUGAUAACAAACUGUCUGACAUGCUCACCGAGUUUUGUGGCUCUGAGCAGAAACUACUUGUUGGCCGUGCUGAAUAUAAAAGAAUAAUUGAAAGGAAGCUGGCAAUAACCUGUCAGCAUGAUGAUAUUGUGGAGCAGAUGAUUUGGGGUCUAGAGAAUAUCAUGCAUAAUCUAUUGGCUGAACAAACAUCAGAGCUGAGGGAGUAUCGCUGCCUCAAUAGCAAAGGAUUAAUCCUUUUCUUACAUCAAUAUGGCUUUCUUGUCAAAGAAGAGUUGAUUUUGUCAGCUUCUGAGUAUCUGAACAUAAAAUCCAUGAGACGUCAAUACAGAGAAGUGAUUAUGUCUGUGGUUGAUGUCUUGUCGGUCUACAAAGAUGUUCUUGCUCUCUAUGAAAAAAGGCUUGAGAUUCUGUCAGAUAUAAACCUCGUGCUGCCGCUGAGGCCAAAGAAGAUCAAAUUAUGGAAUUCUCGUUUUUUGAGAAAACUCAAUUCGACUGAUUUAUGUACUGGCUCCAAAGUUGGAACAGAAGCUAUUACUGAUGUUGAUGGUAUGCUUGACUCCGCCACUCAAAAUAAUUGUAGUGGAGUAGCUCUUGUGAAGAGCAGUGAAUUGGGUUUCCCUGAGACACGACACGAUGUUACUUAUGAUAUGCAGGCUGGAGAUACUGAUACAAAGCAUACAAGUGCAGCACGAAGCAUGGGUGAAACUCAGAAAGAGAAUAACAUUAAAGAACCUGGUGCAAUGGGAGUGAAAGCAGCGGACAGCUUGGAAAAUUUUGAGCUGCCUCAGACUGCUGAUGCUAGCAACAAAACGACUGCACAGCUUACUCAAGAAACUACUGGAAAUGGGAUGAAGGCUCUAGACAGUGCAGGUGAAAGCAUGCAGAGCGGACAGGUAUUUUCCCCGAGAGGCGACGAGAGCAAAGAAUUGGAUUUCCCUGCGACACUACAAGAUGUUCCUUGUGAUAAGCAAACGAGUGCAGCACAAAGCACGCGUGAAACUGCGAAAAAGAAUAACAUUGAAGAAUCUGGUGCAAAGAGAGUGAAAGCAGAGGACAACUUGGAAAAAUUUGAGCGGCCUCGGACUGCUGAUGCUAGCAACGAAACGACUGCACAUUCUACUCAUCAAGAAACUAGUGAAAAUGAGACGAGUGCGGCACAAAGCACGGGUGAAACGGAGAACAAGAAUAACAUUGAUGAAACUAUUGCUGAUGGAGUGAAAGCAGAGGAAAGUUUGGCAGAUGUCAUGCGGUCUCAGACUGAUGACUCUAACCUGCACAUGACUGCACCGCAGGACCCAAAUAAGAGCCAAGUUGAGCAGACUCAAAAAGCUGCAGAAGGCGAGCUUACCAGAAGCCAAGCUGAGCAGACUCGAAAGGCUGCAGAAGGCGAGCUUACCAGAAGGGAAAAGUUCAGAGUGAAGGACAUUUUGGCUGAGGACGAAGCCAAGACCAAGCCAGCAAAGCAACGUCUAUGGAGGUGGCUUAUUCCCUGCCUCUCUGAGCAAUGA
RNAcentral lists this ribosomal RNA (2358 nucleotides) under Triticum aestivum (bread wheat). RNAcentral describes it as "partial small subunit ribosomal RNA". Lineage: Eukaryota; Viridiplantae; Streptophyta; Magnoliopsida; Poales; Poaceae. The record is from RNAcentral.